AAACGUUUAAAUGUAACAUGAAAACAAUGUCCGCUCUAGCUCGUUGACAUUCAAUUGAAAGAACUGGCAAACAAAGGUAACAAAUAACUUUGAUACUCACGUAAUAUUCUCCAUGCAAAUUUCAUAAGAAAGCCACCACGCAGCAUCACACAUCACAAAAGACGAAAUUCCCAAGGUGAUAUUGAACGCCACUUUAACUUCUACACUGAGGAGAAGGCACUCAAGACAGAUAUCCGUUCAUGUUGUCUGCAACUGAUUCUAGACGUUUCAGCACCUGGGCAACAGUGCUGGACUGGACAGUGGAUUGCUGAAAGGGAAAACCAUUUGGUAAGGUUUCGAUGGCCAUUGAUAAUUGAAGAGAAGCAUUGGAAUGCAACAGCUUGUCUGGCUUCGUCUGGACCUAAGUUACACCAAACAGAACACGGGAUCUAAACAAAUUUAGAUUCAGAUUUUUUAGCUUAAAUUUCAGCUGAAGUUUUCGUGUGACCUAGGUGCUUGUGACAAUAGAAAUCAAGGUUAACUUCCCCUGUCAAAUCAUGAUAACAGCAAAAUAAUGCUGCCACUCAAGAGGCUGUGGUGCCUGCCACCACCACAGUUCUAAUUUAGGACAAUGGCGAGAUUCUCACCACCGUUACAAUUGUUUGGAAACUGACAGCACUAACCAACGCUCACAGGUGGGCACUACCCUUGAAUAUCCCUUUUUAGUUGCUAAAACUAGCUAACUAACUAGCUAAAACGGGCCCUCUUGAUUUGAGGUAUGGCUUUCUGUUGCUAAAAUCUUAUUAAAAAUUACUGUCAUCCUAAUAAAAGUUCUUUCUGUCUA
This 823-nucleotide long non-coding RNA is filed under the name Daphnia pulex (common water flea). Its description in RNAcentral is "uncharacterized LOC124198049, transcript variant X3". Lineage: Eukaryota; Metazoa; Arthropoda; Branchiopoda; Diplostraca; Daphniidae. The record is from RNAcentral.